Molecule: ribosomal RNA, 253 nt
Filed under: uncultured bacterium
Lineage: Bacteria
Description: partial 16S ribosomal RNA
Rfam family: Bacterial small subunit ribosomal RNA
Source: RNAcentral
UACGUAGGGUGCAAGCGUUAAUCGGAAUUACUGGGCGUAAAGCGUGCGUAGACGGUUAUGUAAGUCAGGUGUGAAAGCCCCGGGCUCAACCUGGGAAUGCCAUUUGAGACUGCAUAGCUAGGGUACGGAAGAGGGAAGCGGAAUUUCAGGUGUAGCGGUGAAAUGCGUAGAUAUCUGGAGGAAUACCGGUGGCGAAGGCGGCAUCCUGGACCGACAUUGACGCUGAACGGCGAAAGCUAGGGGAGCAAACAGG